CUCUCGGAACCAACACUACAGAAGGCCUCUAAGAAAAACUAGCUGAGCCCCAAGUGAACGAGAUAAGACUCUGAAGGAGACAAGGAAAGGAUUUGGACUUUAACUCCUGCCUGCAUUUGGGCUUCUGGGAGUUAUAAAUGUCAGCUGCACAUUGCUAUGCCUGCAAAGCAAGGUUCAUGUCUUACUUCUGGUACAAUUUGUUUGAUCCCAAGCUCUUUGAUCCCAAGCAAGUACUUCAGCAUCACAGUGAUGUCAAACAUAGAGCCCACAGACAAUAUUCUGAACUGCAACUCACAACAAAUUAAAAUAUAGAAGGGAAAUAUUUAACAAAAUAAACAAAAAUAGAUGA
This is a long non-coding RNA of Sarcophilus harrisii (Tasmanian devil), 349 nucleotides long. RefSeq lists it as uncharacterized. NCBI's taxonomy places the organism in Eukaryota, Metazoa, Chordata, Mammalia, Dasyuromorphia, Dasyuridae. The record is from RefSeq and is a predicted model, not a curated record. The transcript has 3 exons.